This 269-nucleotide ribosomal RNA is filed under the name uncultured prokaryote. RNAcentral describes it as "partial 16S ribosomal RNA". It matches the Rfam family "Bacterial small subunit ribosomal RNA", at positions 524 to 792 of the family's 1533-position model. The record is from RNAcentral.
CACGUAUGGGGCAAGCGUUGUUCGGAAUUACUGGGCGUAAAGGGUGCGCAGGCGGUUCAGCAAGCUUGGUGUUAAAAGCCCCGGCCCAACCGGGGAGCUGCGCUGGGAACUGCUGGGCUGGAGUUCAGGAGAGGAAGCUGGAAUUCCUGGUGUAGGGGUGAAAUCUGUAGAGAUCAGGAAGAACACCGGUGGCGAAGGCGAGCUUCUGGCCAUGGACUGACGCUGAGGCACGAAAGCGUGGGGAGCGAACAGGAUUAGAUACCCGAGUA